Pseudoalteromonas tunicata D2 is the source of this 260-nucleotide non-coding RNA. The record is from Rfam. NCBI's taxonomy places the organism in Bacteria, Pseudomonadati, Pseudomonadota, Gammaproteobacteria, Alteromonadales, Pseudoalteromonadaceae.
CAAGUCCCUGUCGGGUAAGGUUUAACUCACCACCCGUAUCGAGUGUUGCGCCUAUGGCGGAGCUGUUUUUUUUUUUCAGCGAACAAGAUAGGUGAAGCGUACACAGAGAAUUAAGUAGGCCACAGGGGAUCCGUGUCCCUGAAGUGCUGAGAUCGCUCCGAUAAAUACAGUCUGACUGACGAGGUUUGUAACGCCACUGAAGUCCAAGCAAAGCAACCGUAAUGAGUGAGGUUGUGGCGAGUCAGCGGAGUUAUUAAGCC